UUGCUUUGGCAGCACGUAUACCAAAAUUGGAAUGAUACAGAGAAGAUUAGCAUGGCCCCUGCACAAGAAGGACACGCAAAUUCGUGAAGUGGUCCAUAUUUUU
Small nuclear RNA from Vicugna pacos (alpaca), 103 nucleotides. Lineage: Eukaryota; Metazoa; Chordata; Mammalia; Artiodactyla; Camelidae. The record is from RefSeq and is a predicted model, not a curated record.